Molecule: long non-coding RNA, 641 nt
Filed under: Gossypium barbadense (sea-island cotton)
Lineage: Eukaryota; Viridiplantae; Streptophyta; Magnoliopsida; Malvales; Malvaceae
Description: long non-coding RNA (GBAR_LNC014281)
Source: RNAcentral
CUUCUAGUUUUAUUCAUAAUAUUUUGUUCAAUACCAGAUUUGCCUUUAUUCCCAGUGAAGCAGAGAAAUAUAUAGAAUACAUAUAGAUAUUAUAUAUAAAAACUAAUGGAACAUUCAUCAAUAUCCAUGCUCACUAGUCAUCAUAAUUGACUUAGUUUCACACCAGAUUUGCCUUUACUCCUAGUGAAGCAUAGUAGUACACAUAAUACAUACACAUUAGAUACAUAUAUAAAACCUAAUGGAACAUUCAUCAAUCCGUGCUCACUAGUUAUCAUAAUUGACUGAUUAAUUAAGUAAUUAAUCAAUCAAUCCUUCUUGUGCUCUUGAUCAGCACGUCGUACUUCAAGGCCGCCAUCAGGUCUCUUCUCAAGUGAAUAAGGCAUAUAGGUUCCUAGAAUUCUGUCCCAUAUGUCAAAGUAGACAGAGAAGUUGUAUUUGGUACCAUAAAGCUGAUGGUGGACAUCAUGGUAUGCCGAAUUGUUGUUAAAAAAGAGGUAAAAGGGGUUUCCGGGAAGCUUCAUCCCGCAAUGAUCAUCCACUAAUUUAAGGAUGGUAAAGGAGGAGAAAAACAUGGCAAUCCGAGGAGACAUGCCGGAGAGGAGUACAGCUAAUGUUCCGCCCAUGGUGUCCAAGAACCCCUC